Molecule: long non-coding RNA, 930 nt
Organism: Spinacia oleracea (spinach)
Lineage: Eukaryota; Viridiplantae; Streptophyta; Magnoliopsida; Caryophyllales; Amaranthaceae
Exons: 3
Source: RefSeq, a predicted model, not a curated record
CAAUUGAGAAAUCAAAAAUUAGUUUUUCUUACUCCCUUCUUCUCCCUCACGCAACUUUCCGUUUUUCUCCAUGGAAGUCAAGCUUACUUUUCACUUGUCACCAACCUCGUUCAUCUCAAUUUGACUCAUCAAUUUCAUGACACUAAUCAGAAUUUCUAUGCCUUAGUCAUCAAUUCUGAAUUCCUCUUCACAUUUGUCAAUCAAUCAAGCUUCACAUUUGUCAAUAAAUGGAGCUUCAAUUGAGGUCAUCUCCUAUGUCAUCCAACACCAUUCAUCACUAUAAAUAUCAAGCCAAUUGAACCAGGAAAUAUCAAUUUUGAAUUAACCUUUAAUCAAGCUUUCACCACCAUUAAAAACAAUGGAGUUUUCACCAUUUCCAUUACCUUCGAUUAGACUUUAAACCACCACCACCAACUGACGCCUUCUUUUCUUGGCGGAAACCGCCACCAUUGACCACCCCCCGCACCCUUCCUCUCCGGCGUGAUUCUUCCGCCGCCCUGCCUAGAAACACCGACCACCUGACCACCUCCCCAGAUCACCCUAUUGGCGUUUCCUCCACCUCACGCAAGCCUCACCUCCCUUUUCUUGGCUCUGUUUCGUGUUUUAGUGUGAACUCAGGAGAUUGGAUUUGCUUCCAAUUCCAAUUGAAGUACGCUGCUCACGUUCUUUUGAAAAGCAAAAGUCAAACUUUUCCUUACAACCACUAAACAUUAGUGCUCGGAGCUCAGGAAAUACGGUCUAUCAUUACUACGAAUAAGGAGUAUACGGUUGAGGUACGAAGAAGAUCUUGGGAUGCCUUAGAGUGAGGAUGCAACCAUCAAAUUCAUGAUCGAUGUUUAGUAAAGAUAAUUAUGUAUCACUAGUAACAAUGGAUGAACUAAUUAAACUCUAAGUUAAAUUUCAAUUAUUGAGUUAGAUUUUUAUUAUUUA